Molecule: ribosomal RNA, 453 nt
Filed under: Escherichia coli
Lineage: Bacteria; Pseudomonadati; Pseudomonadota; Gammaproteobacteria; Enterobacterales; Enterobacteriaceae
Description: partial 23S ribosomal RNA
Rfam family: Bacterial large subunit ribosomal RNA
Source: RNAcentral
UCCUGUACUUGGUGUUACUGCGAAGGGGGGACGGAGAAGGCUAUGUUGGCCGGGCGACGGUUGUCCCGGUUUAAGCGUGUAGGCUGGUUUUCCAGGCAAAUCCGGAAAACCAAGGCUGAGGCGUGAUGACGAGGCACUACGGUGCUGAAGCGACAAAUGCCCUGCUUCCAGGAAAAGCCUCUAAGCAUCAGGUAACAUCAAAUCGUACCCCAAACCGACACAGGUGGUCAGGUAGAGAAUACCAAGGCGCUUGAGAGAACUCGGGUGAAGGAACUAGGCAAAAUGGUGCCGUAACUUCGGGAGAAGGCACGCUGAUAUGUAGGUGAAGCGACUUGCUCGUGGAGCUGAAAUCAGUCGAAGAUACCAGCUGGCUGCAACUGUUUAUUAAAAACACAGCACUGUGCAAACACGAAAGUGGACGUAUACGGUGUGACGCCUGCCCGGUGCCGGAAG